AACGUAGGAGACAAACGUUAUCCGGAGUUACUGGGCGUAAAGGGCGUGUAGGUGGUAAAGUAAGUCUGGCGUGAAAUUUUUCGGCUUAACCGGGAAAGGUCGUCGGAUACUGCUUAACUAGAGGACGGUAGAGGCGUGUGGAAUUCCGGGUGUAGUGGUGAAAUGCGUAGAGAUCCGGAGGAACACCAGUGGCGAAGGCGACACGCUGGGCCGUACCUGACACUGAUGCGCGACAGCAUGGGGAGCAAACAGG
RNAcentral lists this ribosomal RNA (253 nucleotides) under uncultured bacterium. RNAcentral's name for it is "partial 16S ribosomal RNA". It matches the Rfam family "Bacterial small subunit ribosomal RNA", at positions 524 to 776 of the family's 1533-position model. The record is from RNAcentral.